UAUUUCUAAAUAUUACCACUAUAUAUUUCAGACUAUUGUUCGAUUGAUGGUAAAACAAAUGUUUAUUGAUCAUUGAGCAGACGUGAAUCAGGAAAUGGCAGGAAGAAUCCUAGCAGACGACAGUUGUCGCGCAGAUGCAAUCAUGCACCAUAUCAGACUGCCCGAAAUUACAGGCUGGCCUAGCUCUAUACUGGACUCGCUUUCAGCAGGUAGCAGACGACAAUAAAUUGUAAAGUGGAAAUUUGCGACUUCCGGUGUGUCUGCUUCUCGAUGUUGUGAUCUCAGUUACUUCCCCUGACGUUCAGUAUAUCAAAUGAGGGUCAAGUUUCAGGAUUUGAAAUUAGGAAAGAACGAAAGAUAUGAAAUGAGCACCGGCAAACUGAUCUUGGCAUGUUACAUCCUUAUCACAGAACUGGAACCUACUGAUGAG
Molecule: long non-coding RNA, 430 nt
Organism: Ruditapes philippinarum (Manila clam)
Lineage: Eukaryota; Metazoa; Mollusca; Bivalvia; Venerida; Veneridae
Exons: 3
Source: RefSeq, a predicted model, not a curated record